GGAAGUAAAAGCGUAACAAGGUUUCCGUAGGUGAACCUGCGGAAGGAUCAUUAAAGAGUAAGGGUCUUCGGGCCCGAUCUCCAACCCUUUGUUUAACUACCAUGUUGCUUUGGCGGGCCCGUCUCACGACCGCCGGAAGUUUGGCUUCGACCAAACUUCUGGCCCGUGCCCGUCAGUGGCCCCUUCAAAUUCUUGAUCAAGUAUGAUGUCUUAGUUAAAAACUUAAUAGUUAAAACUUUCAACAACGGAUCUCUUGGUUCUG
RNAcentral lists this unclassified non-coding RNA (262 nucleotides) under plant metagenome. RNAcentral describes it as "partial contains small subunit ribosomal RNA, internal transcribed spacer 1, and 5.8S ribosomal RNA". The stretch from base 1 to 53 matches the Rfam family "Eukaryotic small subunit ribosomal RNA", at positions 1778 to 1831 of the family's 1831-position model. The record is from RNAcentral.